Molecule: signal recognition particle RNA, 96 nt
Filed under: Mycoplasmataceae bacterium
Lineage: Bacteria; Bacillati; Mycoplasmatota; Mollicutes; Mycoplasmatales; Mycoplasmataceae
Description: signal recognition particle sRNA small type
Rfam family: Bacterial small signal recognition particle RNA
About the family: The signal recognition particle (SRP) is a universally conserved ribonucleoprotein involved in the co-translational targeting of proteins to membranes.
Source: RNAcentral
UAUAUUUGCUAUCGCAAUAUAGUUGACAAAAUGUGUCAGGUCGGAAACAAAGCAGCACUAAGUCACAUAACUAUAUGUACGGUAGCAAUUAUUUUA